AGUGAACGCUGGCGGUAGGCCUAACACAUGCAAGUCGAACGGCAGCACAGUAAGAGCUUGCUCUUACGGGUGGCGAGUGGCGGACGGGUGAGGAAUACAUCGGAAUCUACUUUUUCGUGGGGGAUAAUGUAGGGAAACUUACGCUAAUACCGCAUACGACCUACGGGUGAAAGCAGGGGAUCUUCGGACCUUGCGCGAUUGAAUGAGCCGAUGUCGGAUUAGCUAGUUGGCGGGGUAAAGGCCCACCAAGGCGACGAUCCGUAGCUGGUCUGAGAGGAUGAUCAGCCACCCUGGAACUGAGACACGGUCCAGACUCCUACGGGAGGCGGCAGUGGGGAAUAUUGGACAAUGGGCGCAAGCCUGAUCCAGCCAUACCGCGUGGGUGAAGAAGGCCUUCGGGUUGUAAAGCCCUUUUGUUGGGAAAGAAAAGCAGCAGGUUAAUACCCCGCUGUUCUGACGGUACCCAAAGAAUAAGCACCGGCUAACUUCGUG
RNAcentral lists this ribosomal RNA (492 nucleotides) under uncultured bacterium. RNAcentral describes it as "partial 16S ribosomal RNA". It matches the Rfam family "Bacterial small subunit ribosomal RNA", at positions 29 to 507 of the family's 1533-position model. The record is from RNAcentral.